Molecule: ribosomal RNA, 567 nt
Filed under: uncultured archaeon
Lineage: Archaea
Description: bacterial SSU rRNA
Rfam family: Archaeal small subunit ribosomal RNA
Source: RNAcentral
CGCGAUUCGCCCUUCGGGGUGCAGCAGGCGCGAAAACUUUACAAUGCGGGAAACCGUGAUAAGGGGACACCGAGUGCCAGCAUCAUAUGCUGGCUGUCCAGGUGUGUAAAAUACACCUGUUAGCAAGGGCCGGGCAAGACCGGUGCCAGCCGCCGCGGUAACACCGGCGGCCCGAGUGGUGAUCGUGAUUAUUGGGUCUAAAGGGUCCGUAGCCGGUUUGGUCAGUCCUCCGGGAAAUCUGAUAGCUUAACUAUUAGGCUUUCGGAGGAUACUGCCAGACUUGGAACCGGGAGAGGUAAGAGGUACUACAGGGGUAGGAGUGAAAUCUUGUAAUCCCUGUGGGACCACCUGUGGCGAAGGCGUCUUACCAGAACGGGUUCGACGGUGAGGGACGAAAGCUGGGGGCACGAACCGGAUUAGAUACCCGGGUAGUCCUAGCCGUAAACGAUACUCGCUAGGUGUCGGCCACGGUGCGACCGUGGUCGGUGCCGUAGGGAAGCCGUGAAGCGAGCCACCUGGGAAGUACGGCCGCAAGGCUGAAACUUAAAGGAAUUGGCGGGGGAGCAC